AGUGAACGCUGGCGGUAGGCCUAACACAUGCAAGUCGAACGGCAGCACAGAGGAGCUUGCUCCUUGGGUGGCGAGUGGCGGACAGGUGAGGAAUACAUCGGAAUCUACUCUGUCGUGGGGGAUAACGUAGGGAAACUUACGCUAAUACCGCAUACGACCUACGGGUGAAAGCAGGGGACCUUCGGGCCGUGCGCGAUGGAAUGAGCCGAUGUCGGAUUAGCUAGUUGGCGGGGUAAAGGCCCACCAAGGCGACGGUCCGUAGCUGGUAUGAGAGGAUGAUCAGCCACACUGGAACUGAGACACGGUCCAGACUCCUACGGGAGGCAGCAGUGGGGAAUAUUGGACAAUGGGCGCAAGCCUGAUCCAGCCAUACCGCGUGGGUGAAGAAGGCCUUCGGGUUGUAAAGCCCUUUUGUUGGGAAAGAAAUCCAGCUGGCUAAUACCCGGUUGGGAUGACGGUACCCAAAGAAUAAGCACCGGCUAACUUCGUGCCAGCCGCCGCGGUAA
Molecule: ribosomal RNA, 506 nt
Filed under: uncultured bacterium
Lineage: Bacteria
Description: partial 16S ribosomal RNA
Rfam family: Bacterial small subunit ribosomal RNA
Source: RNAcentral